This 4770-nucleotide unclassified non-coding RNA is filed under the name Leishmania donovani. RNAcentral describes it as "gene:LdHU3.09.0600(CDS-product:tyrosine_phosphata se_putative)". The record is from RNAcentral. Lineage: Eukaryota; Euglenozoa; Kinetoplastea; Trypanosomatida; Trypanosomatidae.
UGUUGGUGCGUGUCGUCGUGCGUGUGUGAGUGACGAUUACGAGCUGCGGCCCCACCCCCGCAUCUGAACACCUCUUCUCCUCCCCUCCGCACGCCCAAAAUCCUCCGCCACUUUGGUGACUGCGUUUUCGUGCUUCCUUCGCCACGCACACACGCACACACGCACACACACAUAUAUAUGCAAUCGUUCAAGGUACGUAGACGGCCAACGCGAGUUCAUCAGUUGAAGUAUACAGCUUCUUAACUCGCAGUUUUCGAGGCCACAGUCCGGUGCGGCAGCCGCAGUGUGCAUGUGCCUGCGUAUACAGAUACGCCCCCCCCUCUUGGCCUCCACCCCCCCUACCCCGACCACCACCACCACCACCACCUCCCAUACUACAGGCUCGCUCGCGCUCUCCUCCGCCUCUUCGCUCACAGGAUGCCGCCUCGGCCUUUGGAUCCCACGCCCGCUGCACCCUCCGCAGCGACGUCCACCCCGUCCACGGUGUUAACGCUACAGCGACUCCUCGACACGCAGCAAGCCACCGCCAUUCUUCCAGGUUUUCUGUACUUGGCGUCUACGGGCGAAUGCCUCUCCUCCUCCCUCGCUGGCAGCGUGGACUCCGCCGAGACGGCAGCAGGCGCAUCAGCGCCGGUGGACUCGAAGGUGCCGUCGACAUCGGCAGCGACGGCGAUGUCCGUGGCCAUGGAGGCCAUUCAUGACUUCUACUUUAAGGAGAACUUCUUCGCCAGUGGCGUGGCGGGGGCCUGCCGCAAAGGUAGCAGCACGCGCACCAUCCCGACCGCCAGGGCGGCCGUGGGCCAGGACGCCGUCUUUGUGUCGUUGCGAGGCAUCCCGCCCUACCUCUACCGCCCCUUCUUCGCCGACUUUGGUCCGCUGGACAUGAGCUGCUGCGUGCACUUCGCGCGGCGCCUCUGUGAGCUGCUGCGGGCGGUGACGGGAUUCGACGUGCGCGCCUCCCCCGCAUCCGCUGCUGCUGCAGGAACCUUUAGCAAUGGCACGAACUCGGGGGCCGCUGCCCCUGCCCACAGAAAGCGGGGCGGAAGAGGACAGCCCGCAUCGGCGCCGUCUUGCUCCCCGAGCUCCGCCUCGGCGGUCUCCACGGUAUCCUCCUCCGGUUGCCCUCUGGGGGCCACGCUGCCAGUGGUGGUGUGCGCCAGCCUCGACGCGCAGGAGCGCGUGAACACGGCGUGCCUUGUCGGCGCCUUUUGCGUGUUGUGCCUCGGCUGGUCGGCCGUGGCGACGUGGUAUCGCGGCUUCGUCGACAUCUACCCCGGCUUUCUCGCCUACCGCGACGCGAGCCAAGGCGUGUCGAACUACCCUCUCUCCUUGAUUGACGUGUGGGCCGGGCUCGAGCAGGGUGUGGCCCUCGGGCUCGUCAACGUGCACACGUUCGACAUCCCAGCCUUCCUGGAAGGCAAGCAGUACGACUACAGCUGGGUGGUGCCUCGUCGAUUCCUGGCCAUGAGCUCUCCGCAAGACGACAAGUCCGCGCGCACCGCUGAGGUGUUCGCGCGGCGGCUGCGCCCGCUAGGUGUGCGGCUUGUGGUACGUCUAAAUGAUAACCUCUACAACCCGUCGCCUCUGCUGCGGCUGGGCAUAAGGCACGUUGAUCUGCCAUACGCCGACGGCAGCGUGCCGUGCGACGCGAUGCUGCUGCGAUUCCUGCAGGCGGUAGAGGAGCACUUCGGUGAAUCAGUCGCGCCGGUCUCGCUGCAAGAGUGGUGGUCGGUGCCAUCGUCGUCCGCCGCGACGGCGCGAGCGGGCAGCGCAUCCACGAAAGCUUCCUCAGCUCGUGCUAGUCACCGGAGGCCGGCGCUGCAGCCAUGCUCACUCAUGCACUCAGGCACGUGUCGCGGUAUGCCGGAGGCGUGGACGGCAGUCCCUCCAUCGGCGCCGCCCUCACACGCUCGGCGCCCGGACUCCGCCCACGCGAACAGAACGCAGUGCCACGACACCUGCACCUUGGCGCCAGGUGACAAGGGUGCUGUAGCGGUGCACUGUCUCGCUGGCCUGGGUCGCACAGGCACCAUGCUCGCUGUAUACAUGAUGCGUCACUACGGCUUCACCGCGCGCGCCGUGAUUGGGUGGAUGCGGCUUUGCCGGCCAGGUAGCAUCACCGGCAUUCAGCAGCAGUACCUUGACGCGAUGGAGCGACGUCUGCGGCCGCCGCCGCACAUGCUGGCUGCACUGCAGCUGAACUCGGCAGCCAAGCUGUACGGCGCUGUCGGCGGAGGGAGGCGAUUCGAGCUCCCGUCGCGACGCACACGCUCGUCAUCCUUGUCCGUCAUCUCCUCCACGUCCGCACUGCCAAACGCGGCAGCCGCCGCGCAGACAACGCUCGGAAGGGACGGAGCGGUGGCGAUGGGCAGAAACCAGCUCGACGCUUCACCGCAGCCUCCCCUGGGAAAGGCGACAACGGGCUGCAUGCGCUCGACCGCUGCUGUGACCGCCUUUCAGACGCACGGCAGCGUCGUCGCGGAUGCGCAGCCGGCGACGGCGACGGCGACGAGUAUUGUGGUCGGACACAUUAGGCGCGAUGAUAGUGGCCGCUCGAGCGCGAUGGCUGCUCGAGCAGCGUCGGAUGUCGCCAGAGACAUCGGCACGUUUACGGGCCUGGCAGCGUGGACCGAUCUCACGGGACUGCGUGGGGCGCAGCAACAGCGGCAGCAGCUGCUGAUGCGCCGCUUCAGCAACAGCAGCACCGCCACCCUUUCUCUCAGCACCAUCCAGGAAGGUGGGGAAGCGCUCGAUGUAGUUGCGCGUAUGCCCGUCCUUGGAGACAACAGUCCGCAGAACAGGAGCGCGGCCACGGCGUCACUGAAGCGCGGCUCUGCCACUGCCGCCGCCAGCUACCACAAGACUUCCAUCCACCCGUCGCCUCGCGUGGAUGACUACAAGUACGCCUCGACGUACUUCGUGGCGAUGGAGCGGGUGGGUGAACUGCCGCGCGUAUACCCUUGGUCUACCUCCUCCGCUGCCGCCUCCGCUGCCAGAGGUGAGCCAGGGGGAGCCCACGGCGGUGGUCCGCGACCUGCUACCGCCAACACCUAUGAUGAAACGGCGCCGCGAGGGACGCGCCAUCUCGGCCGUCCCCGCUUAAGCGAAUGCAGCAUCGGAAGUGAUGCAAGCCGAGCGAAGGAGACUCGCACAGCGCCUGCGUCGGCGGACAGCUGCCUCCGCCCCCGCAAAGGUCUCACCAGCGCGCUGCAGCGACGGCGGCCCUACACGGCGGCGGCAGCGGUAAGCGUAGGGCCUCAGCUGCACGCGAAGCGAUAUCCGACCCAUUAUGAGCGCGGCGGUGCCGCCGACCACAGUGAGACAGGCACCCACGCACCAGGCGGCACGCCGCCGUGUUCUGACCUCUCCGAAAAGACGCAACAGUCUCCUCGCCGCCGCCAGGCAGCAACGCGCACGCGAGUUAGAUGGGAUGACAAGGGCGCUCAUCGCGCAAACCUCGACGAUGCAAGGGCUGGCGACACCGCAGCUGCAGAUCCCUGCGUUGACGUCAAGCUACAAACGCCACAUCCACCAUCGGCGCCGAUGCGUUCAUCUCUCCCGUGGAGAGAUGGCGGUGUGACAGAGCUGGAGGAUGGGCCGCGGUCGCCGCUGGUGCUGAGUCGCUCAUCACUGGCAAUCCCUGCAACGUCGCUGCCCAUGUGGGCCCGUCCUAUGCUUCGCACAUGAGCCAGGAAAGGCGCAUCAACCACAGCAGCCAGAUGCCCCCUCCCGUUGCACAGACGUGCAGGCAUCCCUUGCGGCCGCUUUUUGUGGUAGCGGAUUUCGAGUGGGUGUGAGUGGCGGAGAGCGGCAUGGAUAGGGGCACUCUCCUGUCCCCGACCUCCGCCCUCCUUCCUUUGGGCCCCACCACCACCACCACCGCCGCCCGCCCCCCCCCACCGAGGGAAAGAGGAGGGGCGACGCGGGUGUGCACGUGUUCCGCUGUCUGCGCGAGCGCCCGCACGUGUCAUUCCGCAUCUCCAUGCAGGGCUGCUGGCCGCAGCUGCACCCCCUCCCCCUCCCUUGCUUUCCUUUUGAGCCUCACAGACACAUGUAUAUUAGUAGCCUCUCCUCCCUUUUCGGGCGGCGUCACUCACACGCGCGCGUGUAUGGUAUGUAUGUAAGUAAUCGCAAUCUCUCUCGUCCCCGCCGCCGUUGGCAGCGGUUGUUUUUCUCGCUUCGUUCCGGAGGGUGUGUGGGGAGGGGCGUCUCUGAAUCAUCAUCGCGCGAGUGUGCCGGUGCGUGCGUCGCUCACUCCCGUCUCUAUCUCUGCCUCUCUCGCGUCUUUGCUUCUCCUGCUUGUCCCCAAGCCCCCUCCUCAUCCUCCGCCUCCUCCACGGCGUCUUCCUUGUGUGUGCGUGUGUGUGCGUGUGCACACGUUCUCUUGUUUUCUUUCUGUGCCCGUUCGUGUAAAUCGCAUCCCCCCUCUCAUGCCACGAAAACGUGCGUAUGUGCGGUUAUUUGUUGUCCGCAUACUCCUUCCCUUACCUCCUCUGCCUCUUCUGCUCCUCUCCAGCUACGUCUCUGGCAUCGUGUGCUCUCUCUCUCUCCCUCUCUCUGCCCCGCAGCGUAUGCGUCUCCGUGAAUGUGUGAGGCUUGUGCCUCUGCGUACCUCGCCACACGCACACGCGCAUACCACACGGACCUCUACAAGAACGGCGUGCAGAGAGAGGGAGAACACGAGGAGGCAGAGAGUGGGUGUAGCGCCCCCACCUACUCGCCCGCCCGCCCUUUAUCCUUUUCGCACUGAUACUUACCAUAAGGAUGUGG